AUAUAUACAUAAAAUACUUUUGAAGCAUUUUGAACGACGGUGUUGCGCUACAUGGUGCUUGUCCUCGAAUGAAUUCUACGUGUCCAAGUGACGCCCUAAAGACCUCGGGAUAAGCAUCAACGCUUUAAAAAUUUUUUUACACGUUUCAGUGAGUUUUAUGAGUACGUUUUCAUCCCUACGCAGUCGUCAGGCCUUUCUCGUCUUUCAGUUUGUUUAGCUCUGUUCGGUGUGGAAAUAAACACGGACGUGAACGGCGAGCGUGCGAACCCCCUCUCGCAGGUCUGAAGCGCUCUUAAAGCUUGCGGUGUGAUUGGUUUCACACUUCUUUGGGAGACAUAAAGGACUUUUUUUUUUUUUGAAAAUGAUACUCGUCUCCUGGUACUUGAAGACGUUUGUGCGAGACCCGAGGCGUAUCGUGGUAAAUCGGGUUGUGGUUGGUGGAGAAAGGGGCCGGUUCUUCGCUCGGUUCCUCGCGGACGAGCCGAGAGCGAGAUGCGUUCACGCUGCCGAGGUGAUGCGGGACGAGUUCUAGCAAAGCAAAUCCCGUUCCACGCGCGACGCGGGCUCGUGGUCGAGCGAGUAAGGAGGGCGCUCGGGGCGUGGUGUUGAUUUCCCAGGGUUUUUGGGGUCGAGUAAAGGGCACUCGAAGGUAAGCAUAGUAUUAGGCUGACUUCAUUAUUAAUACUGACUCUCCAGAUAAAGAGCUGCGCUUGGCACGCGAUGUCCCCGACAGACCCUCCCUCAGCAGCAGUGCGACACACACACACACAGUGUCGUCUGUCUCUCAGGUCCGCGGUGCCAGCCGAUUGGCUAACGAGGGAGGGGGCUGUACGUUAGCAGCCGUCCUGCGCAUCAUCUCCAUUGGCUUAGACGAGGAUGACCUCACCAAAGCCAGCUGUUGAUUUGGCUCGGCGUGUGUGUGUAUAUGCGAGAGAGGGAGAGAGAGAGAGCUGGUCGUCGUGGCGAUGGGUAGGGAGACAGACAGAGCCGAGGCGCGCUCCAACAAGCGCCUUCCAUCCGCCGCCGCUAUGGAAACGAGCGAUGUACGCCGCCGAGAGGAUGAGGCAGGGCGAUUAAUAUUCCUGACUGUUGGAAUCUUCACGCUCGCGUCUUAAUGGAAGGAUAAUUAAGGCGAAACUGCUUCAUCAGCUUUCUUUGCGUUUUGGCGAGGAGAAUAUAAAACGCCGCCUCGGGGUAAACAGGAGGAGUUCGGAGCGCGACGCCGGCCUCAUUAAUGUAAAUGAUCCCGAAUAUUGUUACUGCAGGAGGUCUGAUUCAGAAACACCAGGCUGCAGAUUGAGGUCCUGGGUAUGAUGAUGAUGAUGAUGAUGAUGAUGAUGGGGUUCUUCAUGAAUGGUGGUGUAGCCUUCAAACUUGAAGAAGUGACACACACACACACACACACACAAUAGGUCAUUAUGGUCUGGAUAUAUUCUACAAUAUUAGAUCUGACCUUUUUUCUCCUGUGGUAGCUAGGUAACAGUCGACGUUUCUGAAACUCAUCGUUUCAUUAAAUUGAAGUUAGUAAGGGAGAACUGAAUCAAUAACGACACGUCCGACACGUCCGCCACACGUCCUGCAGUCAGGUUAAAAAGGGAACCGAAGCUGAAGGGUUCUCCAUGAGCCGCGAUGGACGAUACGCGGAUUUUAGAACAUCGAGAACUGCACUGUGUAUUUGUUGAGCUAUUAUUAUUAUUAUUAUUAUUAUUAUUAUUAUAUUAUUUAUUUUCAAUGCUUUAUUUAUAAGGACGGUUGAGGAUGAUUUGCAGCGCCGUGCGUUGUAGCUGAAAUUAAAACUAAAUAAAAAAAGAGAGAAUUAUUUGUUGUAUUGUUGAGCUGCAAACCGGCGCGUCGUAUUUCUAGUCCCGGAUGAAUCAGUACCGUGCAGGAGUAAAACUUCAGCGCCGGGUUCUAACGGUGUUGCCGAUAGAGGGCGGGGCUAUGUACGAAGACGGUUAUAAUAAGACACUGCAGAAACGUUUUCCCUUCCGGAUGUUUUUCAGACGGAGGUGUGCUCGAGUGAAACGAGUCUCGGUCUCGGAGAACGCUGCGGAGUUUAAAUCUCAAGUCCGUAGUGGAGAGGUAGCUAGGAGGAAGGAGCAGCUAGCUCUGUCGCUGCAGACUACCUCUUUGUUUUUGCGUUUAUUUUUUAAAAUGUAUUUAUUUAUUUUUAGGGCUGUAUGAGGAGUGUGUCACACACACGACUGCGUAUUAAGGCGCAUAAGGUCGCUAUGAUUAUUCUCUCGCACUUGUGUUCAAAUAAAACGUUUGCUUGCCCUUUACAAGCUCCGAACGCGCCUUUGCUUCUUAGCGUAUUAUUAAUUUUCCUCUUCUGUACUUCUCACAUUUUCUGAACAGUUUCUUUUUUUAAUCUGUUGCAGUUAAAAUGUGUGUGUGUGUGUGUCUGCAAAGAGCGUGAUGGGAAAAGAUAACCCGUGAUGAAAAUAAACACAUCUCUUGCACCCCCUUGUGUUCUGGAGAAGGAAAUGCACUGGAUUUACUUUUGUUUAGUUUUUUGGGUUGUUGUUUGUGUUUUUUGUUGUUUUUACAUUUAAAUAACUAAAUACGUUUAAAUAAUCAAAAUUCACAACAGUUUAAUAAUAUUUAGUUUAUAGAUCAUGUGCUAUUUUUUAUUGUUAUGUUUAUUUGCAUGUAACUAGAAUGUUAGUGUUAUUUUCCUAAUUGUUUUGUUCUGCAUCGGGACCUGAAACGACUGCGGGUAUAUUUACAUGCGUCAUCUUUUCCAGACAUGUUUGUUCUUCAGUGUAUGUGGGAGGUGUGUGUGUGUGUGUGUGUGUGUGUGUGCAGGGGAGAGAGAGAGAGAGGGAGAAACGGGAGAGAGGGAGAAAGCGAGAAACGAGGGGGGGAGAAACAGCAGAGAGAGAGGGAGAAACGACAGAACGAGAGAGGGAGAAACGGCAGGGAGAGAGAGGGAGAAACGACAGACGAGAGAGGGAGAAACGGCAGAACGAGAGAGGGAGAAACGGCAGAACGAGAGAGGGAGAAACGGCAGAACGAGAGAGGGAGAAACGGCAGGGAGAGAGAGAGAGAGAGAGAGGAAGAGAGAA
Long non-coding RNA from Ictalurus punctatus (channel catfish), 3068 nucleotides. NCBI's taxonomy places the organism in Eukaryota, Metazoa, Chordata, Actinopteri, Siluriformes, Ictaluridae. The record is from Ensembl.